This 78-nucleotide small RNA is filed under the name Aliterella atlantica CENA595. RNAcentral's name for it is "CyVA-1 RNA". It matches the Rfam family "CyVA-1 RNA". Rfam says of the family: Cyanobacteria, Acidobacteria (1 example), Verrucomicrobia (1 example). The record is from Rfam by way of RNAcentral. Lineage: Bacteria; Bacillati; Cyanobacteriota; Cyanophyceae; Chroococcidiopsidales; Aliterellaceae.
AUAUCGGCGCAGGAGUUUUGCUGUUUGUCCUGCUUGUUGCUGCUCUAAGGAGAACGGUGUCCGAGCAGCAGGCGAUCG